GGCCUCUUUGUCAGCUGGAGUUGCGCGGGCUGACGCGCCACUAUGUAGCGGGUUUCGGGCGGGCCACGCGUGCGGGACAGGAACCCAACCCCAGCCGACCUUGAGCUCCAGGAGUUCGUCUCUUACGUCUGCGGAAGUGCAGCUGCCUCAGUUCUUAGCGCAGGUAAAGAAAUGGAUUAGUGAUAACUCAAGUUUCAUCACCUCUCUACAAGUUUCACGCUGUUUAAGUCAUGAACCUACAAAAGCCUGUGAAAAAAUCUUUGAAGAUGCUCAGCUUGUUUCAGUCUGAAAUUUCUCCAAGACCAAUGAACAAAACAGGAUCAUGCCCUGAAUACACACCCAAGCUGCAGGCUCCUGCUUAGCCCUAUUUUGGUUUGGCCUCCAUGAGAUCUUCAGCCACAAUAGCAGGAGAUAAAAAUCUUCCUAGAAGCUUUCAUCAGCUGCAAGUUUUCUUACAGAAUGAAACUUUUCUGCUAUUUUUCUCAUAGUUAAUUGGCUAUUUGAGAAAACCGAAUUUCUGGCUCUCAGCAUUUAAUUGGAUUCUGUGGGUGACUGGAUGACCGCUUUGCACAUCACCAUGGGUAUCAUCCUUACCUUCUUUAAACCUUUUGUGCCAGUCAAAAAUUCUUGCUCUUGAUAUGUCAUCACCGGAAACUACUUUUUUUUUUUGUUUCUCUUUUGUGACAGGGUCUUCCUCUGUCACCCAGGCUGGAUGGAGUAUAGUGGAACAAUCAUAGUUCACUGCGGCCUUGGUACCCUAGGCUCAAGCGAUCCUCCCACCUCAGCCUCCUGAGUAGGUGGGACCACAGGUGUGUACCACCAGACCUGGCUAAUUUUGUUAUUGUUGUUUUUUAUAGAGGUGGGGGGGUCUCCCUAUGUUGCCCAGGCCUGUCUUGAACUCACGGGCUCAAGUGAUCCUCCUGCCUCAGCCUCCCAAAGUUCUGGGAUUACAGGGGUGAGCCACUGGACCCAGCCAGAAACUACUUUUAACAGUUCUAAUUGCCACUUGUCUUGGCUGUAUAUUCAGAAAUAGCCAGAUUGGAAUUAUGGUUUUUUGAUUGCUAUUGAUAGGGAGGUUCAAAUGCAAUAUACCAAAAUAGUCUAUUUCAGGUGUCUCACUGACAUAUUUAACUUUACACAAAAUUUAAUAUGAAUUCUUUGCUCUAACAGUCAACAAUUUUUAGGUCAACAAAAGAAUAACUCUAUUCACAUCUAAGAAAGUUAGUUGGCAACCUUAAAAGCUCUGUUGUAGCCAGCUGAAACAUAACCUAUUCCAGCAAUUUCACAAACUACACAAAGAAAAAUUGGUAAAUAUUUCAACAGAUGAGUACAAAUAAUCUUUGGAGAAGCUGAUAAAGAUUUCAGUGCUAUAUCAUCUUAGCCUGCUAUUUUCCCACCUACAAAAGGGUCGAAAAUAAAUCAGCUUUUUCUUGUCCAAUUAAUAGGAAAAUGAUAUAUGAAAUACUUUAAUUAUUAGUCGGCACUGUCCCACCCCGAAAGAACCUAAGACUUAAAAAUACAUCCUAAUAACAUGUAUAUUGCCACUUGGCUGUACACUGAAGACUCAGGUAUCUACAGUAUUUUGUAUUCUCUUCCCGAUUGCACGAUUUUUUCAGUGCUUUGCUUUCAGGGAAAACAGACUCAGGCUGGUCUUUCUUAUGGUAUUAAGUACAGGCUACUUUAAGAUAAUUUUGUGGUGUUUGCUAAAUUCAAGAAAUCAAUACAGGCCGGGCGUGGUAGCUCACACCUGUAAUCCCAGCACUUUGGGAGGCCGAUUCCGGCGGAUCACCUGAGGUCAGGAGUUCAAGACCAGCCUGGCCAACAUGGUGAAACCCCGUCUCUACAAAAUAUACAAAAAUUAGCCGGGCGUGGUGGCUGGCGCCUGUAAUCCCAGCUACUUGGGAGGCUGAGGUGGGAUGAUCGCUUGAACUCGGGAGGUAGAGGUUGCAGUGAGCCGAGAUCGCGCCACUGCACUCCAGCCUGGGCGACAGAGCGACACCGUCUUAAAAAAAAAAAAAAGAAUUCAAUACAUAGUGUCAUGUGCCUUUACUGGGGGAAUCUCCUUUACCUUUUGGGGAGGCUGAUAGGGCUGCUUAAAAUAUUUGUAUUAGGCACUGGAAGAUGUAAACGGGACCUUAUCCUAUUUAAACUCUCUUUAAAUUAGCUAGAAAUGGGCUGGGAACAACAGGAACCCACCAUUUAACUACGGCGGCUAAUCCCCCAAGUAUGGUAACAUACUGUACUGCACCCCCUAAAAGUGUGUUACCAACAGGACCACAAACAAGUUUGCCCACUGUUUUUAAUGCAAAUGUUCCUUUCAAGAUCGCAAACCCUUCAAUACACAGGGCCUAAUCCAGUCGCGCUUUACUACUACGGGUUACUCCCGCCAACUGGCAGGGGAGCCGCCCCGGGCCCCGCGGAAAAGGCAGGUGCGCGUGAGGGAAAGCAUGAGAGCCCGGGCCGCGCCCACCUCGGCCCCAGGCACUACGGGUCCUGCGGGUCCCGCGGGUCCCGGAUUCGAGGCGAAGCGGCCCAGAGCCUGCGGCUGCUCAGACCUCCUCACCGCGCCCACCUCCCAGCCACCUCCUGGCUCCAGGUCCAGAGCAGGAGCAGGACUACCGGGGUCCCUGGCACACAAGGAGCAGAAAUACCUUGAGGGGCGGGACCAAGUAGCCCAGCGCUGGAGGAAGACCCGCACCCUCGCGGGAGUUCUGAGAGCCUUAGCAGGCCGCGACAACACUGGGAGACGUGUCUGCCAAUCACCGGAUGGGGGCGGUCCUGGGGGGGGGGUCAUGCAAUUGGCUAAGCACGGAGAAGCUCUCGUUCCAUUGGCCAUUUUUCCGGCCUCAAGCCCACCCCUAGGCCUGAAUCCCCGUCGCGUUCCGCCGGUCUGCUUCUCGGCCGAAAGGCUGGGGAGGAGGAGAGGAAACGCCUGGGUUAGUUUUGGUUCCUUCUGCUGGCGCUCAGGCUGCUGGAAGAGUCCUAGACCUUCACCCGUGGUCCCUUGGGCCCGUUUCACGCCCACGUUCUGACAUGUCCUGUGGUAUUCUGUACCUCUGCCUUCUACCCUGUGUCCCACGCUGAUCCAUCCUAGGCAGGGAGAAGGCAGCGUCGCAGGGACAAUGCCAAAAUCAAGAUAUUUCUCUUAGAGCUUUCUAAUAUUAAUACCUUAUGUCUAGGUAUGGUAUACAAUAAGCAUAUAUAUAUUUUAUAAAUCUAAAACCACUCCCCCUCAUUAAAUCAUCAAACUAGUCCCAAUGAAGUAGGUACUGUUAUUCCUUAUUUUUCAAGCAAGGAAACAUGAGCAGGAGGAUUUAGUGAUCGGCUCACGUCCUGUCAUGUUUACUUCCUAAAUAUCAGCUGUAUCCUGUCCUCAUUCCUAUUCCCUUGCUCUAAUUCAGACCUUCAUAAUUGCUUGCCUGGAUUAGUUCUACAAAUAGCUCCCAACUCCUUUCCCGGUCAUCCUCCAAAGCCAAAGAUUAAUCUUCCUAAUGCAAAUCUGAUUGUGUCUCUUAAACCCUUCUCAAGCCUCUCAAAUGUCAACUCCUUCUGUGGCACCUCAUUGCCUGUAGGUUCUGGCAGAGACUGCUUUUUAUUGAAAUAUAACAUGACCACAGAUGAGUACACAAAAAUGCACAUUCGGCUGAAAUUUCACAAACUAAUCACAGUCCUGCCACCAACAACUAAUUUAAGAAACAGAACAUGGCGGGGCGUGGUGGUUCAUGCCUGUAAUCCCAGCACUUUGGGAGGCCGAGGUGGGCAGAUCGCUUGAGGUCAGGAGUUUGAGACCAGCCUGGCCUACAUGGUGAAACCCUGUCUCUACUAAAAAUACAAAAAUUAGCUGGGUGUGGUGGCACACGUCUGUAAUCCUAGCUACUCCGGAGGCUGAGGCAGGGGAAUCGCUUGAACCCGGGAGGUGGAGGUUGCAGUGAGCGAGAUCAUGCCACUGCACUCCAGCC
This 3959-nucleotide long non-coding RNA is filed under the name Homo sapiens (human). RNAcentral describes it as "differentiation antagonizing non-protein coding RNA". The record is from RNAcentral. Lineage: Eukaryota; Metazoa; Chordata; Mammalia; Primates; Hominidae.